Arachis stenosperma is the source of this 1787-nucleotide RNA transcript. It is a transcript of the gene named amidase 1, with no coding region annotated. The transcript has 9 exons. The record is from RefSeq and is a predicted model, not a curated record. NCBI's taxonomy places the organism in Eukaryota, Viridiplantae, Streptophyta, Magnoliopsida, Fabales, Fabaceae.
GCUACAGUUUUCUGUUAGUUACUACUUAACCACCACACCAUCAUCCUUCCGUAGUUGAAAAACUUAGGAUAGAGCGUGUUUGCAACCCUGCGACAGAACCAACCAAUCAUGGAAACUUCCUCCAACUACGGAGCGUUCAUGGAGAGGUUCCUUCUACCCCCAAGUUCCUCACCACCCGGGCAUGCUCCCCUUCCUCUCACUUCACUCACUUUUGCAGUCAAAGACAUAUUUGAUGUUAAAGGGUAUGUGACCGGAUUCGGGAACCCUGAUUGGCUAAGGACUCAUCCUGUGGCUACUUCUACUGCUCCAACUGUUUUGACUCUCCUUAAAGCAGGUGCUGCUUGUGUUGGCAAGACUGUCAUGGAUGAAAUGGCUUACAGCAUAAAUGGAGAGAAUAUACACUAUGGCACGCCUAUAAAUCCUUGUGCCGCAGAUCGGGUUCCCGGAGGAUCUUCUAGCGGCUCUGCUGUUGCCGUCGGUGCAAAACUGGUUGAUUUCUCCUUAGGAACCGACACGGGAGGAAGUGUAAGAGUGCCUGCAUCUUACUGUGGGAUCUUUGGCUUUCGUCCUUCUCAUGGCGCUAUUACAGAAUCUGGAGUUACUCCUAUGGCACAAAGCUUUGAUACUGUGGGAUGGUUUGCUAGGGAUCCAAAGACUUUCACCAGCGUUGGGCGCAUACUUCUACAGCUGACAGAAGUCUCAGCUGUUAGACCUACUCGCAUAAUCAUCGCAGAUGACUGUUUUCGGCUUUCAAGCACUCCAUUUGAUUUAAUUACACAAGUUGUCACUAAAGCUGCAGAGAAGCUAUAUGGAGGUGAUAUAUUAAAGCACGAAAAUCUCGGCGACUAUGUGAAGGACAAUGUUCCAAGCUUGAACCAUUUCAUGACAAAAGAGAACAUAGACCAAGUAUACAAUAUUCCAUCACUGACAGCACUUUCAAGCGCAAUGAGAUCGCUUCAGAGGUUUGAGUUCAAGAGUAAUCAUGGUGAGUGGAUCAGUGCAGUCAAACCAAAUUUAGGUCCUGGAAUAUCUGAACGUGUAUCAGAAGCCUUAAAUGCAACAGGGGAAGAUGCUGAUAUCUGCCAUGCUAUAAGAAGGGAACUGCGCGAUGCUCUUACUUCUCUUCUUGGGUGUUUGAAACUUUCAGGAUUUUGGUGUUCUCAUGAUCCCAACAGUACCAGGGUCUCCACCAAAGCUACAAACAGAUCCAUCUGAAUUAGAAGUUUUUCGAGCAAGGGCAUUUAGCUUGCUGUCCAUUGCUGGAGUCUCUGGAUUUUGCCAGGUAACCAUACCCUUGGGGAUGAAUAAUAACCUUCCUGUAUCAGUUUCACUGUUGGCCAAACACGGUGCAGACGGAUUCUUGCUUCACCUUGUCGAGAAUCUUUAUGACAGCAUUAAGCAAGAGGAAGCAGCAGCAGUGUCAAAUCCCAAGAAUAUAAGUUAACUACAAUUAAACUACAAGGAUCUCGCUGUACGUUAUAUCAAUAUAUGUCCCAAGUUCUUGACAAAAUAAAUUUAUGCAAGUUUAGAGAGCUUCUAAUCAUAGAACACAUUUUAGUCUCAAUUUGAGAUGAAUGGGAUAUGGAACAUUGAAUUCUCUUUGACUUUGACCUUCCCAAUCACAGUUUAGCUAGUUGUUUCAUUCAUAGGAGUAUGAAUUAUAUUGUGGUCUUGAAAAAUAUUUCAUUUGGUUUGAUUGCUCAAACUCCAUCAUUUCUUGUUCUUGAUACUCUCAACUACUAUUAGCAUAGUAACUUGAAUCAUUUUGUGGUGGUGAAAAAAUCUCC